GCCGGGGUGGCGGAACGGCAACGCGCUAGCCUGGAGAGCUAGUGCCCGCAAGGGCUUGGGGGUUCGAAUCCCUCCCCCGGCG
This 82-nucleotide transfer RNA is filed under the name Microcaldota archaeon. RNAcentral's name for it is "tRNA-Ser". It matches the Rfam family "tRNA". From Rfam's summary of the family: Transfer RNA (tRNA) molecules are approximately 80 nucleotides in length. Their secondary structure includes four short double-helical elements and three loops (D, anti-codon, and T loops). Further hydrogen bonds mediate the characteristic L-shaped molecular structure. tRNAs have two regions of fundamental functional importance: the anti-codon, which is responsible for specific mRNA codon recognition, and the 3' end, to which the tRNAs corresponding amino acid is attached (by aminoacyl-tRNA synthetases). tRNAs cope with the degeneracy of the genetic code in two manners: having more than one tRNA (with a specific anti-codon) for a particular amino acid; and 'wobble' base-pairing, i.e. permitting non-standard base-pairing at the 3rd anti-codon position. Lineage: Archaea; Nanobdellati; Microcaldota. The record is from RNAcentral.